CAAGUUUCAAUACCUUCUGCCACACACUCAAAAAAUAGAUGGUUCCUGGACUCAAGCUCAUAGCCACAAAAAACACUUCCUUCAAUAUGAAGCCCCAUAGAAAUAAGCCUCUACUUAGCAGGCAAUCUGUCAAGAAUUGCCAUCCAAGUGAUUAUGGAGUGCUUAGCUAUAUUCCAAGCAUGCGACACCUGCUUAUCCCAUUUCACUUUCUCUCUUCUCCUCCUUAUUUGCUCCCAGAUAUUGGAAAUUGAUUCAACUCCGAAGACACUCAGAGAGAUAUCCCUAAGCUUCAAAAUUUUCCUACACAGCCAGAUCCCAUUAGUCGAAAAUGAAGCCUGCCAGAAUGAUGCCCC
RNAcentral lists this long non-coding RNA (353 nucleotides) under Gossypium barbadense (sea-island cotton). RNAcentral's name for it is "long non-coding RNA (GBAR_LNC006732)". Lineage: Eukaryota; Viridiplantae; Streptophyta; Magnoliopsida; Malvales; Malvaceae. The record is from RNAcentral.